RNAcentral lists this non-coding RNA (234 nucleotides) under Clostridiales bacterium. RNAcentral describes it as "T-box sequence". It matches the Rfam family "T-box leader". Rfam says of the family: Uncharged tRNA acts as the effector for transcription antitermination of genes in the T-box leader family. T-boxes are found upstream of many aminoacyl-tRNA synthetase genes and some amino acid biosynthetic genes usually in Gram-positive bacteria. The record is from RNAcentral. Lineage: Bacteria; Bacillati; Bacillota; Clostridia; Eubacteriales.
UUAAAAGCGAUGACGGAGAGAAAGAUGUCAAAGUUUGUUUCAAAGAGAGCCAGAAUAGGUGAGAGCUGGCAAGCAGAUGGGCAUGUAAUAUUCACUCCUAAGCUGGAUAGUAGAAGUGUAGUAAGCUGUCCCGGAUUCCCCCGUUAGUAGAGGAUAGGAGUUGUUAGACUCUGAUAAGUGGUGAAAUUUUUUCACAACUAGGGUGGUACCGCGGAUAUGUCUUUCGUCCCUUUG